This 253-nucleotide ribosomal RNA is filed under the name uncultured bacterium. RNAcentral's name for it is "partial 16S ribosomal RNA". It matches the Rfam family "Bacterial small subunit ribosomal RNA", at positions 524 to 776 of the family's 1533-position model. The record is from RNAcentral.
UACAGAGGGUGCAAGCGUUAAUCGGAAUUACUGGGCGUAAAGCGCGCGUAGGUGGUUUGUUAAGUUGAAUGUGAAAUCCCCGGGCUCAACCUGGGAACUGCAUGCAAAACUGGCAAGCUAGAGUAUGGUAGAGGGUGGUGGAAUUUCCUGUGUAGCGGUGGAAUGCGUAGAUAUAGGAAGGAACACCAGUGGCGAAGGCGACCACCUGGACUGAUACUGACACUGAGGUGCGAAAGCGUGGGGAGCAAACAGG